UGCUCUCUGAUGGCGAGUGGCGAACGGGUGAGUAACAUAUCGGAACGUGCCUAGUAAUGGGGAAUAACUAAUCGAAAGAUUAGCUAAUACCGCAUACGACCUACGGGUGAAAGCAGGGGAUCUUCGGACCUUGCGUUAUUAGAGCGGCCGAUAUCUGAUUAGCUUGUUGGUGAGGUAAAGGCUCACCAAGGCGACGAUCAGUAGCUGGUUUGAGAGGAUGAUCAGCCACACUGGGACUGAGAUACGGCCCAGACUCC
RNAcentral lists this ribosomal RNA (257 nucleotides) under uncultured bacterium. RNAcentral describes it as "partial 16S ribosomal RNA". It matches the Rfam family "Bacterial small subunit ribosomal RNA", at positions 79 to 339 of the family's 1533-position model. The record is from RNAcentral.